RNAcentral lists this ribosomal RNA (116 nucleotides) under Salmonella enterica subsp. enterica serovar Derby. Lineage: Bacteria; Pseudomonadati; Pseudomonadota; Gammaproteobacteria; Enterobacterales; Enterobacteriaceae. RNAcentral also lists the same sequence under 3 other names. The record is from RNAcentral.
CCUGGCGGCAGUAGCGCGGUGGUCCCACCUGACCCCAUGCCGAACUCAGAAGUGAAACGCUGUAGCGCCGAUGGUAGUGUGGGGUCUCCCCAUGCGAGAGUAGGGAACUGCCAGGC